This 460-nucleotide ribosomal RNA is filed under the name uncultured bacterium. RNAcentral's name for it is "partial 16S ribosomal RNA". It matches the Rfam family "Bacterial small subunit ribosomal RNA", at positions 338 to 795 of the family's 1533-position model. The record is from RNAcentral.
CCUACGGGAGGCAGCAGUGAGGAAUAUUGGUCAAUGGCCGGAAGGCUGAACCAGCCAUGCCGCGUGAAGGUCAGUGCCCUAUGGGCGUUAAACUUCUUUUGUGCGGGAGAAAUAAUGGUCACGUGUGGCCAGACGAGAGUACCGUACGAAUAAGCAUCAGCUAACUUCGUGCCAGCAGCCGCGGUAAUACGGGGGAUGCAAGCGUUUUCCGGAUUUAUUGGGUUUAAAGGGGGCGUAGGCUGUGAGGUAAGUCAGCGGUGAAAUGCCCCCGCUCAAAGGGGUGAAGUGCCAUUGAUACUGCCUGGCUGGAAUGCGGAUGACGUAGGAGGAAUGUGUGGUGUAGCGGUGAAAUGCAGAGAUAUCACACAGAACACCGAUUGCGAAGGCAUCUCACGAAUCCGCGAUUGACGCUGAUGCACGAAAGCGUGGGUAUCAAACAGGAUUAGAUACCCCGGUAGUC